CCCCAUCAGAUCGACCCUGUUGAUCU
Molecule: non-coding RNA, 26 nt
Filed under: Cricetulus griseus (Chinese hamster)
Lineage: Eukaryota; Metazoa; Chordata; Mammalia; Rodentia; Cricetidae
Source: RNAcentral